This 84-nucleotide transfer RNA is filed under the name Echinostoma caproni. It matches the Rfam family "tRNA". Rfam says of the family: Transfer RNA (tRNA) molecules are approximately 80 nucleotides in length. Their secondary structure includes four short double-helical elements and three loops (D, anti-codon, and T loops). The record is from Rfam by way of RNAcentral. Lineage: Eukaryota; Metazoa; Platyhelminthes; Trematoda; Plagiorchiida; Echinostomatidae.
GGCCUCGUAGCUCAGCGGAUAGAACAUGCGCUGUAUAACAGUGUUGGCGGCGUCCACGCGUGGGUUCGAAUCCCACCGAGGCUA